GAUGAACGCUGGCGGCGUGCCUAAUACAUGCAAGUCGAACGCUUUGUGGUUCAACUGAUUUGAAGAGCUUGCUCAGAUAUGACGAUGGACAUUGCAAAGAGUGGCGAACGGGUGAGUAACACGUGGGAAACCUACCUCUUAGCAGGGGAUAACAUUUGGAAACAGAUGCUAAUACCGUAUAACAAUGACAACCGCAUGGUUGUUAUUUAAAAGAUGGUUCUGCUAUCACUAAGAGAUGGUCCCGCGGUGCAUUAGCUAGUUGGUAAGGUAAUGGCUUACCAAGGCGAUGAUGCAUAGCCGAGUUGAGAGACUGAUCGGCCACAAUGGGACUGAGACACGGCCCAUACUCCUACGGGAGGCAGCAGUAGGGAAUCUUCCACAAUGGGCGAAAGCCUGAUGGAGCAACGCCGCGUGUGUGAUGAAGGGUUUCGGCUCGUAAAACACUGUUGUAAGAGAAGAAUGACAUUGAGAGUAACUGUUCAAUGUGUGACGGUAUCUUACCAGAAAGGAACGGCUAAAUACGUGCCAGCAGCCGCGGUAAUACGUAUGUUCCAAGCGUUAUCCGGAUUUAUUGGGCGUAAAGCGAGCGCAGACGGUUAUUUAAGUCUGAAGUGAAAGCCCUCAGCUCAACUGAGGAAUUGCUUUGGAAACUGGAUGACUUGAGUGCAGUAGAGGAAAGUGGAACUCCAUGUGUAGCGGUGAAAUGCGUAGAUAUAUGGAAGAACACCAGUGGCGAAGGCGGCUUUCUGGACUGUAACUGACGUUGAGGCUCGAAAGUGUGGGUAGCAAACAGGAUUAGAUACCCUGCUAGUCCACACCGUAAACGAUGAGUGCUAGGUGUUUGAGGGUUCCGCCCUUAAGUGCCGCAGCUAACGCAUUAAGCACUCCGCCUGGGGAGUACGACCGCAAGGUUGAAACUCAAAGGAAUUGACGGGGACCCGCACAAGCGGUGGAGCAUGUGGUUUAAUUCGAAGCAACGCGAAGAACCUUACCAGGUCUUGACAUCCCUUGACAACUCCAGAGAUGGAGCGUUCCCUUCGGGGACAAGGUGACAGGUGGUGCAUGGUUGUCGUCAGCUCGUGUCGUGAGAUGUUGGGUUAAGUCCCGCAACGAGCGCAACCCUUAUUACUAGUUGCCAGCAUUCAGUUGGGCACUCUAGUGAGACUGCCGGUGACAAACCGGAGGAAGGUGGGGAUGACGUCAAAUCAUCAUGCCCCUUAUGACCUGGGCUACACACGUGCUACAAUGGCGUAUACAACGAGUUGCCAACCCGCGAGGGUGAGCUAAUCUCUUAAAGUACGUCUCAGUUCGGAUUGUAGGCUGCAACUCGCCUACAUGAAGUCGGAAUCGCUAGUAAUCGCGGAUCAGCACGCCGCGGUGAAUACGUUCCCGGGUCUUGUACACACCGCCCGUCACACCAUGAGAGUUUGUAACACCCAAAGCCGGUGGGGUAACCUUCGGGAGCCAGCCGUCUAAGGUGGGACAGAUGAUUAGGGUG
RNAcentral lists this ribosomal RNA (1498 nucleotides) under Weissella confusa. RNAcentral's name for it is "bacterial SSU rRNA". It matches the Rfam family "Bacterial small subunit ribosomal RNA". The record is from RNAcentral. Lineage: Bacteria; Bacillati; Bacillota; Bacilli; Lactobacillales; Lactobacillaceae.